CACAAGCACCACAGGGGAGGAUCUGCAGCAAAGGGACCACCGGAAAUCAAACCUUGGCCGCCAUGAUGACGACAUGUGGCACUUGAGUGUGUGACUACGACUACCAGCAUGAACCUCAACACCUUCUUUGCUGUUCCACUAGUGUGACCCAUGAUCGGAUACAAGUUGUCAAGGAUAAACGGGAAGAGAAUCAUGUCAGCCCACAGACAACCGGUUGACCUGUGAGUCUUCAAGCAGUAAUGAUGACUACUCCUGCCUUAAGUUCCAGUUUCCUGAACAUCAUGUCGGCAUGAGAUUCUGUCCCCACCUGUCUUCAGUCUGGACUCAAUGAGUUGUUUUUUUUACAGGGGGUUUCAGUCACAUGGUUUAUUUCGAGGCUUUGUCUGAGUUUCAGUGCUGCAGUUAUUUACCAUUCAGGUGUGUUCAGAAAAAUCCAAUUUGUCAUUCUCAUUUGAAGGGCUUGCUGCAGUGAUUCUUUUGUGUACACCAGGAUUUCUUUGUAUUUUGGCAUUUUACACAAAUGUUUUUGAAAGAUGGUCAACAAAGUUGCACAAAUAAAUGUUUAC
Long non-coding RNA from Pseudoliparis swirei, 566 nucleotides. RefSeq lists it as uncharacterized. The transcript has 3 exons. The record is from RefSeq and is a predicted model, not a curated record. NCBI's taxonomy places the organism in Eukaryota, Metazoa, Chordata, Actinopteri, Perciformes, Liparidae.